CCUACGGGGGGCAGCAGUGGGGAAUAUUGGGCAAUGGGCGCAAGCCUGACCCAGCAACGCCGCGUGAAGGAAGAAGGCUUUCGGGGUGUAAACCUCUUUUCGCAGGGAAGAAGCAAGUGACGGUACCUGAGGAAUAAGCCACGGCUAACUACGCGCCAGCAGCCGCGGUAAGACGUAGGGGGCAAGCGUUAGGCGGAUUUACUGGGUGUAAAGGGGGUGUAGGCGGGACUGGAAGUCAGACGUGAAAACCACGGGCUCAACCUGUGGCCUGCAUUUGAAACUGUAGUUCUUGAGUACUGGAGAGGCAGACGGAAUUCCUGGUGUAGCGGUGAAAUGCGUAGAUAUUAGGAGGAACACCAGUGGCGAAGGCGGUCUGCUGGACAGCAACUGACGCUGAGGCGCGAAAGCGUGGGGAGCAAACAGGAUUAGAUACCCGAGUAGUC
RNAcentral lists this ribosomal RNA (443 nucleotides) under uncultured bacterium. RNAcentral's name for it is "partial 16S ribosomal RNA". It matches the Rfam family "Bacterial small subunit ribosomal RNA", at positions 338 to 795 of the family's 1533-position model. The record is from RNAcentral.